This 355-nucleotide ribosomal RNA is filed under the name Megazosteria aff. patula W16. Its description in RNAcentral is "partial small subunit ribosomal RNA". The record is from RNAcentral. Lineage: Eukaryota; Metazoa; Arthropoda; Insecta; Blattodea; Blattidae.
UUUGGAUGUAAAAUAUAUUAACCUGAGUAGUAAUAGUUAAGGUCUUGAAACUUAAAGAAUUUGGCGGUAUUAUAGUCUAUUUAGAGGAAUCUGUCCCUUAAUCGAUAGUCCGCGUUGUACCUUACCAAUUUUUAUGUAUGUAUACCGCCGUUAUUUAUGAGAAUCUUUUUAGGGAUUUAUAAUUUUCUGGAUUUGCUUAUAAAGUUUAUUUCAGGUCAAGGUGCAGCUUAUGAUUUGGUGGAGAUGGAUUACAUUUAUAUUAAAUAUUGGAUUAUUCUUUGCAAUUGGAAUAUGAAAUUGGAUUUAAUUGUAAUUUUUUGUAGAUUGUAAUUUUGAUUUUAGCUCUAUAAUAUGU